RNAcentral lists this unclassified non-coding RNA (219 nucleotides) under Hevea brasiliensis (rubber tree). Lineage: Eukaryota; Viridiplantae; Streptophyta; Magnoliopsida; Malpighiales; Euphorbiaceae. The record is from RNAcentral.
GAAAAUAAAAUAAACCCAAAUUUUGGACAUCCAUAAAAAAACCCAAAUAGCACAGUUAGUAUUGUUAGAAAAAAGGGGGGAAAACAACUUCAGAUAACCUAGAAACAGAGGACAUAAAUAACAUGUAAGAGUUUCCAUUCUUUUUUCUAAAGACACAGAAGGCCAAUAAUCAACAAGCAUAUGACCUAAGUAGCAUAUUAUUAUUAUUAUUAAAAAAAU